RNAcentral lists this ribosomal RNA (374 nucleotides) under uncultured bacterium. Its description in RNAcentral is "bacterial SSU rRNA". It matches the Rfam family "Bacterial small subunit ribosomal RNA", at positions 28 to 403 of the family's 1533-position model. The record is from RNAcentral.
GACGAACGCUGGCGGCGUGCUUAACACAUGCAAGUCGAGCGGUAAGGCCCUUUCGGGGUACACGAGCGGCGAACGGGUGAGUAACACGUGGGUGACCUGCCCUCAGCUCUGGGAUAAGCCUGGGAAACCGGGUCUAAUACCGGAUAUGACUCCAUGACGCAUGUUGUGGGGUGGAAAGCCUUGUGCGGCUGAGGAUGGGCCCGCGGCCUAUCAGCUUGUUGGUGGGGUGANGGCCUACCAAGGCGACGACGGGUAGCCGGCCUGAGAGGGCGACCGGCCACACUGGGACUGAGACACGGCCCAGACUCCUACGGGGAGGCAGCAGUGGGGAAUCUUGCGCAAUGGGCGAAAGCCUGACGCAGCGACGCCGCGUG